UCUAGAUGAGAAAAUUUGGGUUUGACCUCUGUCACAGAUUGUGCAUGUGUGCUGCUGAAUGAAGAAAGUUCCUCUGGUCCAGUAUCUUCACUAGUUUAAAAAAAAAAGUGGGCUACAGUACAUAAAUCCUAACAUCUCUUCCAGCUUGACUGGCUUGUGGGUCUAAUGGUUACUUCAGGCGAGUAUGGCCAUUCUGUGCUACAUGGAGGAGCAGAAGAUACAGCAAGCUGACUGCACUUGGGCUGUGUGAUGUCACUUCCACAACAAAUCCUACCAUGUUGUGUACAAAAAGGCUGGCUGCUGACUUGCAGUGGCCAACAGAACCUGGCAUUAAUGAUGUGAGUUCCACGAGCCUCAGGAUGUCCUGCCGGUUCAGCCUUUAUUCUCCUGGGUGACCAUUUCACUGCGGGAGUGCACAACCCAUCCCAUGUCCCCGAGGACAGAGAGCAGCGCAGUCACCUGGGCCACUCUUGGCAGCAUCCAAGCCAAGGUGACAGGCGAGAAGAAAUGCCACCAAACUCUCAGAACCAGAGAAAUAAAAUAUUCAUUACUCUAAGCCUCCCAGCUUUGGCAGGCCAACUGCCAUCUCCCUUCGCAACCCCAGGCCAGUAAACUUCAGAAACAUUAUCAAAA
Molecule: long non-coding RNA, 633 nt
Organism: Cavia porcellus (domestic guinea pig)
Lineage: Eukaryota; Metazoa; Chordata; Mammalia; Rodentia; Caviidae
Exons: 2
Source: RefSeq, a predicted model, not a curated record